This is a non-coding RNA of Aegilops tauschii subsp. strangulata, 1242 nucleotides long. Lineage: Eukaryota; Viridiplantae; Streptophyta; Magnoliopsida; Poales; Poaceae. The record is from RefSeq and is a predicted model, not a curated record.
UAUUAUUUAACAUGCAUGAAAUAGAUAAUUCAAAUUGGUAUACCAUAAUUUUUAUAGUGCCGACAGAGAGAAUGCAAAAUUGAGCAUAGUUCAUGUUGAGUUAGCUACAAACAUAGGCAAUAAGAAGUUAAAGUUUUACAAAAAAUCAAUGCUGAUCAGGUUACUGUUAUUUUCUCAAAUUACUAUAAGGCACAGAAAUAUGGCAUACUGGAAACAAUGCAGACACCGCUGGCAUAAGAGAGUACGAGACUACGGAAGAUUUUAUCAUAGUAGCUGCUAAAAUUAUGUGAUGUCAUAACAUCUACUUGAUAUCAUAGCUGAUUUAAACAAGCAACACAUUCUUCAGUCAUGUACAAUUUAGUUUCAUGUUUAUCCAUGAAUUGCAUGCCUCACUAUGUUUGUUCAUGUUCAGGUGUUAAGCGUUGACUCAUAUUACCAAUAAUUUCCCCUGUGUACUGCCCCUUUCUUUAUAAUAUUCAGUUGUCCGUUUCUCUGUUAUACUUGCAAUCGUGGAACUCUUUCAUACUUGGGGUUAAGAACUAGUACCUUUCAAGGAACCAGGGGUGUUACUGGAGGAAUAGUAAGGCACUUCUGUUUCACGAUAAAGCACUAGAUCCAAGGUGGUACUACCAUGGUGCAAGGGUACCCAGCUCUUCUUUUGCAAAAGAAGAGUAAUUUGCACGGCAAGUGUUUUGGGGAGAUUUUAUCAUUCUUCACUGCACAAUGGGCCAACGAUAAGCUCCUCCGGGGACUGAGUAAAGGAUGGACUUAUUGGUCAGGUACGAGGCCUAGGCGUGAGAAAAAAUAUUCUCCGCUACUGUGGAUGCAGUAAGAAAUUUUUGCAACUAGUCCUACUCCUACCACUGAGGCUGAGCACCGAGAUAUUGGGCAUAUUGGUUGCUGAAACAGUGAACGUGAUCUCUGGCGCACACGCACAGCACAGAGGAGCAGUGACCGGGUGAACCCGGUUGCGCGCCAACCAUCCCUGGUGGCAGAUCCACGUCAGCCGCCGCUUUUUGCGAGCCGACGCAACGGCAGCGCGUCGCUUUUGCACAAAUGCAGUGGGCCCCACUUGGACAAAGCGCUUCCUCGCUUUUUUAUCAAAAAUCAAUUCUAUUUUACUCCUGGUGCUGUUCUACCCUUUCCAGAAGGUUCUUGGUUCGGGUUAUAGUCACUGUGACAUUUGAUCGAAGAAAGGGACAACGCAAUUAGUGAAAAAUAAAUCGUGUUCGAAGCCUAAAA